RNAcentral lists this small nucleolar RNA (81 nucleotides) under Carlito syrichta (Philippine tarsier). RNAcentral describes it as "Small nucleolar RNA SNORD115 (ENSTSYG00000023792.2)". It matches the Rfam family "Small nucleolar RNA SNORD115". From Rfam's summary of the family: HBII-52 is a member of the C/D class of snoRNAs, which contain the C (UGAUGA) and D (CUGA) box motifs. HBII-52 is encoded in a tandemly repeated array with another C/D snoRNA, HBII-85, in the Prader-Willi syndrome (PWS) region of chromosome 15. The record is from Rfam by way of RNAcentral. Lineage: Eukaryota; Metazoa; Chordata; Mammalia; Primates; Tarsiidae.
UGGUCAGUGAUUAAAUUUAUGUCUUGUCUAUAGACAGGUGUUGUCUUAAAAGUCUUGCACAAUAGAGUUACACUGAGGACA